RNAcentral lists this unclassified non-coding RNA (2619 nucleotides) under Pogonomyrmex barbatus (red harvester ant). RNAcentral describes it as "inactive dipeptidyl peptidase 10, transcript variant X2". Lineage: Eukaryota; Metazoa; Arthropoda; Insecta; Hymenoptera; Formicidae. The record is from RNAcentral.
CAGUAUUGAAAAUUCGUACAUGUGAGUAUAACGACGUUCAUAGCAGUUCAUAACGAAGUAAUCUCACUGUAGAUUUAAAUCUCACUGUAGGUUUAAAAUCGUGAACAAGCGGACAAAUUAACAUUACAAAAAUUACUACGAUCAUCGAAUGGGAUAAGCGUAAACGAUCGCGUUGUUUUACCUCCGCUCGGGUUAAAAAAAAGUCGUGUAACGUUCGAUUUGCACCACCGAUGGCAGAUCACGACAAUAUUUACGACGACGAGGAGCUAGUUUCAACUAAUCCAAAUCAAAGGAAUUGGCGUGGAAUUUUAAUAGCGUUGCUCGUAAUCGUUGCGGUCCUAGCCCUUAUUGUCACAUCCGUUGCUUUGCUCACGCCUCCUGAUGAUGGCCCCAGAGUACGAGGAACACGAUUGCGUCUCUCUGAAGUGCUGUCUGGGGAAUUAUCUCCUUUAUUAUUCAAUGGAUCCUGGGCGAGUAAUCACCAUAUAUGUUAUCGAGAUCUGUGGGGUGGAAUCUCCUUAUUAGACGUUUCUAAGAUUGAGUCACGUAGUUUAAUGCCAAAUGAAACAUUUAGACGAUUAAAUCCAGCAAAAUUCUCGUUAUCGCCAGAUCAUAAAUUUCUGCUCCUUGCUCAAAAUGUGAAAAAAUUGUUUCGUUACUCGUACUUAGCGCAAUAUGUCAUUUAUGAUCUCACUACACGAGAAUGUAUAGUGUUGACGCCUUAUCCUGAGAAAGAUGUUCAUCCCUAUCUUUUAUUAGCGCAAUGGACUCCACGUGGACACGGACUUGUCAUGGUACAGGAUUAUGACAUCUAUUACAGGACAAGUCCUAUGAGCAAUACUGGAUACCGUGUAACAAACACUGCGGUACCUGGUAUAUUAUCCAAUGGUGUUCCAGAUUGGCUGUAUGAAGAGGAAAUAUUGCAUAGUGGAGAAGCAAUCUGGAUGUCGCCAGAUGGUCAUAUGAUACUUUAUGCCUCGUUCAAUGAUUCUCUCGUAGAAGAAAUGCACAUUUCAUGGUUUGGAGAGGGGAACAAAGCUUUGUAUCCUGAUAUACGAUCUCUACGAUACCCUAAGCCAGGAACACCAAAUCCUUCUGUACGGUUGUAUGUUGCUGAUUUAGUUGAGCCAAAAAGUAUUCGUACGAAAAUAGUGAAACCACCUCCAAUCAUCGAAAAUGUGGAUCAUUACUUCUCGACCGUUUCCUGGGUAUCUCUAACAGAAGUCUGUAUAACAUGGUUAACGCGCGCUCAAAAUUUCUCAAUAAUUACCAUCUGUAAAAGCCCAAUGUGGCAUUGUCAGGAAAUACAAAGAAUAUUGGGUGAUGGUCAUGGAUGGGUAGAUACUCCCCCGGAAGCUCCUAUUUUCUCAGCCAAUGGUAGUACUUACAUCGCAAUAAGUCCCGUAAAAGACGGACCGGCAGGAUAUUACAAGCACAUAAUCUGGGCUAACGUGCUUCGGAAACAAAUAGUGCCUUUGACACAUGGGAAAUUUGAAGUCGUUAGGAUUUUAGUAUGGGACCAAGUGAAUAAUACUAUAUAUUUCAUCGGCAUUCCAUUUAUGAGACCGGGUCAGAGACAUCUUUAUCGUGUAAGCUCUACUCUUCCUCGUAUGGGAUCGCCUUUACGCCCUGCUAUAUGUCUCACAUGCACCACUUCAUCUGAUAUAAUAAAUAAUGGUGAAAGUGAACAUAGAACUAGUUCUUCAAAUUGGGAGAAUGGUCUUACCAAUCGAAAUGAAUGGCAUGAACACUAUGAAAUUCAAAUUGAUAAUAUCAACAAUAAGGAACAUCGCCAAGCGAAGGACAUUUCCAAAAAGGACAAAUUAAGAAAUAGGAAUGUAUUAAAAAGCGGUGACCCUCCUUGUCAGUAUCACAAUGUUAUCUUCCCAUCCGACGGCUUUGAGUAUUUCGUUCUUGAGUGCCUUGGACCUGGUAUACCUACCGUGUCUCUUUAUAAGAUGGAAAUGUCUAUGCCGCGACUCAUCGCAACAUUGCAGAACAACACAUUGUUGCGUGAAAAAAUAACAAGCAUCGCUCUUCCGCAAAUAAAAACAUUUCCUGUGCAAAUAAGUGGCGGCUACAACGCUCAAGUGAGAUUGCAUCUACCACCCGGAUUGAGAGAAGAUGAGAUUACCCGUUAUCCGUUGGUCGUCCAGGUAUAUGGUGCUCCUGGAUCACAACUAGUCACUGAGAUGUUUAAAAUAGAUUGGAAUACAUAUUUAGCUAGUCAGAAAAAUAUUAUUGUUGCACAAAUAGAUGGCAGAGGAAGUGGAGGACAAGGUUACAAGUUGCUUCAUGAAGUUUAUUAUAGGCUAGGUUCUGUUGAAGUGGCCGAUCAACUCGAAGUUACAGAUUUUUACGAUUAUAUUAUCUACACGGAAAAAAAUUUUUCAUCGCGGCAGUUAAUCAUGGUUUGCUGAAACUGUAUUUGCUGCUGCAGCAAAAGAAAUUGCUAUUGUUAUUACUACAUCGUUUCCUUUGCAAAGUGUACUAGUCUACUGUGAUCAUAUUGAUUACAAAAUUUUGCUAUUCUAGCUAACAGAUACUUAAGAGACUCAUUGCAUUUUGUGGAUAAACGAAGAGUCGCCGUAUGGGGAUGGAGUUAUGGUGGUUUCGUUG